This 424-nucleotide ribosomal RNA is filed under the name uncultured cyanobacterium. RNAcentral's name for it is "bacterial SSU rRNA". It matches the Rfam family "Bacterial small subunit ribosomal RNA", at positions 356 to 795 of the family's 1533-position model. The record is from RNAcentral. Lineage: Bacteria; Bacillati; Cyanobacteriota.
GGGGAAUUUUCCGCAAUGGGCGAAAGCCUGACGGAGCAACGCCGCGUGAGGGAUGAAGGCCUCUGGGCUGUAAACCUCUUUUCUCAAGGAAGAAGACCUGACGGUACUUGAGGAAUAAGCCACGGCUAAUUCCGUGCCAGCAGCCGCGGUAAUACGGGAGUGGCAAGCGUUAUCCGGAAUUAUUGGGCGUAAAGCGUCCGCAGGCGGCCUUGUAAGUCUGUUGUUAAAGCGUGGAGCUCAACUCCAUUUGAGCAAUGGAAACUACAAGGCUUGAGUGUGGCAGGGGCAGAGGGAAUUCCCGGUGUAGCGGUGAAAUGCGUAGAUAUCGGGAAGAACACCAGUGGCGAAGGCGCUCUGCUGGGCCAUAACUGACGCUCAUGGACGAAAGCCAGGGGAGCGAAAGGGAUUAGAUACCCCUGUAGUC